This 433-nucleotide ribosomal RNA is filed under the name uncultured bacterium. RNAcentral describes it as "partial 16S ribosomal RNA". It matches the Rfam family "Bacterial small subunit ribosomal RNA", at positions 29 to 507 of the family's 1533-position model. The record is from RNAcentral.
AACGAACGCUGGCGGCAUGCCUAACACAUGCAAGUCGAACGAAACCUUCGGGCCUAGUGGCGCACGGGUGCGUACCGCGUGGGAACCUGCCCUUAGGUUCGGUAUAACUCCCCGAAAGGGGUGCUAAUACCGGUUAAUCUCUUCGGACCUAAGAUUUAUCGCUUUUGGAUGGGCCCGCGUUGGAUUCGCUAGUUGGUAGGGUAAAAGCCUACCAAGGCGACGAUCCAUAGCUGGUCUGAGAGGAUGAUCAGCCACACUGGGACUGAGACACGGCCCAGACUCCUACGGGAGGCAGCAGAGGGGUAUAUAGGACGAGGGGCGAAAGCCUGACACAGCAAUGCGGGGUGAGUGAUGAAGGCCUUAGGGUUGUAAAGCUGUUUUACCCGGGAUGAGAAUGACAGUACCGGGAGAAUAAGCACCGGCUAACUCCGUG